This is a long non-coding RNA of Alosa alosa (allis shad), 393 nucleotides long. RefSeq lists it as uncharacterized. Lineage: Eukaryota; Metazoa; Chordata; Actinopteri; Clupeiformes; Clupeidae. The record is from RefSeq and is a predicted model, not a curated record. The transcript is spliced from 3 exons.
UUUCAGAAAAAGGGACCCUGCCAUCACAAACAUUCUUAGAUGGCUUGAUGCUCAUGAUUCCAACCAGAAUAAGCGAACAACAGUCCUGCUUGGCAUGCCCCACUGUCUUUGUCAAGAUACUUCCAGCAUUCUAAAGACCUGUGAGCCAACUGGUCCAGUUGAAGAUGUCUUAAAAGAAACCAGUGUGGGGAUCCUGAUCGUGUAUGAGGACUGCAGCAAAUGCGUGGUUCUACAAAAUCAAUGACAUAUGUCUUGUUUUGGAGGAACAGUUUAUCGUCAUGGACAUUUCCAAUAUUCCAAAGGCCUUUGAACUCUUUGGACUGAUGGGUCUCAAUAUGGACUACCCGAAGCAUCUAAAAUUCACGUUUGAAGUACUACAAAAGCUGUUCUUGA